GUUGGAAGUCGUUCUCACAGAUGGAAUCAUCACAGUGCUGGGAGUAGUAAUUGAAUAUUGAAUCCCCUGGACUUGCUCGCAUCCCUCCUCCAUUUUCCACCUAAUCCUCCUGGUUUCCAAUAUUUCAGUGUAAUAUACAUUUGGUGCUUUAUGUGAAUUCCUAACAGAAGAAGGUUUUCAUAUCAGAAGUAAAUCAAGAGAAAAUGAGAACAUCCCUUGCAGCUUACGGUGGAUACUGGUUCUUCCUAGAACCCUCUUUGCUGAAGGAUGAAUAAAUAGAAACAAAAUCCCAAUCCAAAAAAAUGAUCUGAAACAGCUGGAAAACAGAGCAUAAUUUUAAAUAUUGAAGAAAAUUCUAUAAGAAAAAUAAUUGUUAAAAUAAAUAUUUUAUAAUGUAUCUAAUUUGUAUUCUUAAAAAAAUUUUUAAUAUGAAAUUUAUUGUCAAAUUUGUUUCCAUACAA
This is a long non-coding RNA of Panthera uncia (snow leopard), 461 nucleotides long. RefSeq lists it as uncharacterized. Lineage: Eukaryota; Metazoa; Chordata; Mammalia; Carnivora; Felidae. The transcript has 3 exons. The record is from RefSeq and is a predicted model, not a curated record.